Molecule: non-coding RNA, 74 nt
Organism: Podarcis lilfordi (Lilford's wall lizard)
Lineage: Eukaryota; Metazoa; Chordata; Lepidosauria; Squamata; Lacertidae
Source: the annotation of a GenBank genome assembly
GGCUAGCUCAGUUGCUUAGAGCGUGGUGCUGAUAACGCCAAGUUUGCAGGUUCGUUCGAUCCUUGGAUGGGACA